Molecule: ribosomal RNA, 528 nt
Filed under: Triticum aestivum (bread wheat)
Lineage: Eukaryota; Viridiplantae; Streptophyta; Magnoliopsida; Poales; Poaceae
Description: partial small subunit ribosomal RNA
Source: RNAcentral
CCACGCUCAACUGAAGAAGAAGAAGAACAUGUUGAUAUAUCCAAUCUUCCGCCGGAUCCUGCAGACCGUAAGCCAAUUUCCCAAUACAAAACUGCCAAAGUUCGUGAUGAUGUGCGAAGAGCUUACCUCCUAAGGGGCCCAUGCCAACCUGAUGGACAUGUUUUCCGUCAAACUGAUUUCAGUGGAAUUCAACAUCGUUUUAACAAAGAAUGGUUCAAGACAUACAAGCCUUGGUUGGAGUAUAGUAUAAAGGAAGAUGCUGCAUUUUGUCUUGUCUGCUACUUGUUUCAAAAUGAAAGUAUAGGACGAGGUGGUGGAGAUGUAUUUUCAUCUAAGGGCUGGAGAAAUUGGAAUAACCUAAAGAGAUUGGAUGUCCACGUUGGCGGUCCUUUGAGUACUCAUAAUCAGAAUAUGGAGCGAUGUGAUGACCUUAUGAACCAGAAUCAAUCAAUUGCAGCUAAUGUACGCAAGCAAACAAAAAAAUCCAAGAUAGAAUGUGGCUGCUGUUGCUUUGAAGAAUGCUCCUAA